RNAcentral lists this unclassified non-coding RNA (135 nucleotides) under rhizosphere metagenome. RNAcentral's name for it is "partial ribosomal RNA internal transcribed spacer region". The record is from RNAcentral.
GUAGGUGAACCUGCGGAAGGAUCAUUACUGUGAUAUACUUUCCACACUGCGUGCGCGUAACAAACCCCUAAACAUGAAUAACCCAGUCAAGAAUCCAUAAGAAUAAAACUUUCAACAACGGAUCUCUUGGUUCUC